RNAcentral lists this ribosomal RNA (420 nucleotides) under uncultured bacterium. Its description in RNAcentral is "bacterial SSU rRNA". It matches the Rfam family "Bacterial small subunit ribosomal RNA", at positions 358 to 775 of the family's 1533-position model. The record is from RNAcentral.
GGAAUAUUGGUCAAUGGGCGCUAGCCUGAACCAGCCAAGUAGCGUGAAGGAUGACUGCCCUAUGGGUUGUAAACUUCUUUUAUAUGGGAAUAAAGUGCAGUAUGUAUACUGCUUUGCAUGUACCUUAUGAAUAAGGAUCGGCUAACUCCGUGCCAGCAGCCGCGGUAAUACGGAGGAUCCGAGCGUUAUCCGGAUUUAUUGGGUUUAAAGGGAGCGUAGGCGGGUUGUUAAGUCAGUUGUGAAAGUUUGCGGCUCAACCGUAAAAUUGCAGUUGAUACUGGCAUCCUUGAGUACAGUAGAGGUAGGCGGAAUUCGUGGUGUAGCGGUGAAAUGCUUAGAUAUCACGAAGAACUCCGAUUGCGAAGGCGGUCUGCUGGACAGCAACUGACGCUGAGGCGCGAAAGCGUGGGGAGCAAACAG